Molecule: ribosomal RNA, 417 nt
Filed under: Triticum aestivum (bread wheat)
Lineage: Eukaryota; Viridiplantae; Streptophyta; Magnoliopsida; Poales; Poaceae
Description: partial small subunit ribosomal RNA
Source: RNAcentral
AUGUCUCCCGUGGCCUCGGCAACAUCACGGGGAGGUUCAGGUUUCAGCAUGAAAGUUCAGAGGCCGACUUGUUGUGGUAUAUCAAGUUCAGGUCAGUCAGAUACUGUAGGAAAUGAACAUGUCAAGCUUUCUACUAAACCACAACAGGCUGAUAGAAGUCAUGACAGAUAUGAAAUCCACAAAAUCGAUGGCAUAAUCCCAGGGACAGUCAGAAAAUCCAUCAUCAGCCCUCAAGGUUCAGAGUUACACCGACUAAACGCUACUACAAAUCACGUUGGGUGGGUAGAUCAACCUCAUGCAGCAGCCGACUUGCGCAGCUCGUUCUCGCCAUGGGCAAAGUGGCAUCUGUCGCCAAACGUGCACGAUCCUUUCGUGAAGUUGUCACACAGCUUGGUCUUGAAAUUGCUUCCGCGGUGA